AGAGUUUGAUCAUGGCUCAGGACGAACGCUGGCGGCGUGCUUAACACAUGCAAGUCGAACGAUGAUGCCCAGCUUGCUGGGCGGAUUAGUGGCGAACGGGUGAGUAACACGUGAGUAACCUGCCCCUGACUCUGGGAUAAGCGUUGGAAACGACGUCUAAUACUGGAUAUGAUCACUGGUCGCAUGGCCUGGUGGUGGAAAGAUUUUUUGGUUGGGGAUGGACUCGCGGCCUAUCAGCUUGUUGGUGAGGUAAUGGCUCACCAAGGCGACGACGGGUAGCCGGCCUGAGAGGGUGACCGGCCACACUGGGACUGAGACACGGCCCAGACUCCUACGGGAGGCAGCAGUGGGGAAUAUUGCACAAUGGGCGAAAGCCUGAUGCAGCAACGCCGCGUGAGGGAUGACGGCCUUCGGGUUGUAAACCUCUUUUAAUAGGGAAGAAGCGAAAGUGACGGUACCUGCAGAAAAAGCACCGGCUAACUACGUGCCAGCAGCCGCGGUAAUACGUAGGGUGCAAGCGUUGUCCGGAAUUAUUGGGCGUAAAGAGCUCGUAGGCGGUUUGUCGCGUCUGCUGUGAAAUCCCGAGGCUCAACCUCGGGCUUGCAGUGGGUACGGGCAGACUAGAGUGCGGUAGGGGAGAUUGGAAUUCCUGGUGUAGCGGUGGAAUGCGCAGAUAUCAGGAGGAACACCGAUGGCGAAGGCAGAUCUCUGGGCCGUAACUGACGCUGAGGAGCGAAAGCAUGGGGAGCGAACAGGAUUAGAUACCCUAGUAGUCC
RNAcentral lists this ribosomal RNA (776 nucleotides) under uncultured bacterium. RNAcentral's name for it is "bacterial SSU rRNA". It matches the Rfam family "Bacterial small subunit ribosomal RNA", at positions 8 to 796 of the family's 1533-position model. The record is from RNAcentral.